UUGAACGCUGGCGGCAGGCCUAACACAUGCAAGUCGAGCGGUAGAGAGAGCUUGCUUCUCUUGAGAGCGGCGGACGGGUGAGUAAUGCCUAGGAAUCUGCCUGGUAGUGGGGGAUAACGUUCGGAAACGGACGCUAAUACCGCAUACGUCCUACGGGAGAAAGCAGGGGACCUUCGGGCCUUGCGCUAUCAGAUGAGCCUAGGUCGGAUUAGCUAGUUGGUGAGGUAAUGGCUCACCAAGGCGACGAUCCGUAACUGGUCUGAGAGGAUGAUCAGUCACACUGGAACUGAGACACGGUCCAGACUCCUACGGGAGGCAGCAGUGGGGAAUAUUGGACAAUGGGCGAAAGCCUGAUCCAGCCAUGCCGCGUGUGUGAAGAAGGUCUUCGGAUUGUAAAGCACUUUAAGUUGGGAGGAAGGGCAGUUACCUAAUACGUGAUUGUUUUGACGUUACCGACAGAAUAAGCACCGGCUAACUCUGUG
Molecule: ribosomal RNA, 482 nt
Filed under: uncultured bacterium
Lineage: Bacteria
Description: bacterial SSU rRNA
Rfam family: Bacterial small subunit ribosomal RNA
Source: RNAcentral